Molecule: unclassified non-coding RNA, 600 nt
Filed under: Hevea brasiliensis (rubber tree)
Lineage: Eukaryota; Viridiplantae; Streptophyta; Magnoliopsida; Malpighiales; Euphorbiaceae
Source: RNAcentral
UAUCAAACCACAAAUGAAAUGGAAAUAUAUUUGCAAGAGAUUUAAGUUUUGCCUAUCUCAAAGAAUAAUGUUAUCAAAAUCAAGAAAAAUAAAUUCAAAGAGCAAUAUAUCUCCAACUAACAUUUCCUACAUCUCCUCCUCCCUUUUCAAAAAGAUAAAAUUAUAUAGGACAAACUUAUCACAAUGACUUUGGCCUACCAUUACAGAAACUUGCUUGCGCUUUUCAAAACUAUAAUGAUUUCUAAGUGCUAAAUUUCCAUGCAACAAAGCAACUCCAAAGUUGCAUCCACAGAGGAGAAUAUGAUAUUGUCACUCAUCUGCCCAGCUAUAUAUGAAUAGAGAUAGAUAAUGUCUAAGCAGUUAUCUUCGACUACUAGCCGUUUUGGCCUUGCUUAGAUCCGCAAGCUCUUCAAUUAGCUUUCUUUCUGCGCUGCUCAAUCUUUUUGGAAUUUCAACUUGUACACGAACCAACUGAUCACCCUUCAUGUUGCUUUUGUUUAGCACGGGGACUCCUUUCUUCGACAUCACAAGUGUAGUGUUCGGCUGAGUUCCACUCGGGAUCUUGAGAUCAACCAUACCAUCAACUGUUGGUACCUUAAU